AACUGUUACUGUCAUCAACUCUCAUCCAUACAUAUGUUUUAGUGAAAAUGAUAGAAAGAAAUUGAGUGCAGUGUUAACUGAAAUGUAGUUAAUUGGUAGUAUAGUUAUAGUCCUGAAAGUCUAUAAGCCAUUGAAAAUAAUGGGCCUCGCAGCGCAGCGGGGCUGUCGUUGCGGUGGGUCUGAAAGGUUACACUUGCUUUGUUUGUUUACGUUGCACUGAAAGCUCAACUCUCACCGCAACGCCAUCGAUUGUAAGUGACACGUUUAUAUUUAAUUCCCUACCAACUUGCUACGGGUGUGUAAAGCUGGGUGGUGAUCCCGCAGGUGCUGCAUCAGGUUUAAUGUAGGGAUUUGCUCCUUUAGCAGGAACCUUUUAACUGCAUGUUUAUGAACAGGUAAUCCGUCAUCAGUAACGCCUUGGUUAGACUUGGUGUACCCAAAAUGCUCCCACACUGCCGACUUCAGCCGCUUCUUGGCUGGAAAUAAAGCUUCACAGUUUGGUCCCUCUGCCAUAGUUUAGCCAGUGCACAGUAGCCUCCGAUAAGCACGACACUUACGCUGGUGCACCGCUCCUGUAACUUUAUUUUCGUUUUGUGCAAGUUGCCACAAUUUCGUUCCGUGCAACAGAAACACUUGGUGUAGCGUAGCCUUUACGAUUAAGUUUAAAGCGCGGUUGAUAGUGAAAUCCGAUAAUCGCUGCAGGCCUAAUAGCAAUGUGUGUCAGAUUCUGGCUUUAAUGGUGCGUUCCAUUUGACAUGGUAAGUUGGAAUUUUCGAGUUCGAAGUCGGAAAUUUCAAAGGGAACGCCCCCUUAAGUUGGAUAUCUGACUUGGGAAGCUGUGAGAACCGCACUACCCCAACUUUGUGAUCCAUGAUGGCUAAUCUGAGUAUCAACAGUUAGUGAAAGCUGUAGUUUAUACUAUUUAUUAGAACUUCUGUGGACUUGUGUCUCACAGAAAUCUUCGUACACAAAAUGAUGUCCAACUGCUGUGUGUGGAGGUGUUGCUACAGUGUUUAGUAUGCGUAAAUACAGCACAGUGCUUUUUUUUUUUAAUCAACCGGCGUAACAAUAGCUAACCUGGCUAGUUGUAAACAAUGGCUGGCCGAGCGAGGUUUUCCAACCUGUUAACUCCCAGCUCCAACCUCCAACUUCUGAGGUAAAUGGAAUGCAGCAUAAAUCUUAGCUCUGGCCUUUUCUGUGUGGAGUCAGUGUAUUCAGCUUCAGCUUCACCAGUUCAAAUGACAUGCAAGUUAGGUACACUGGUGAUCACUACACUACAAUGUGAUGUUGAGGUAGUAGUCAAAUGCCUACCUGAUAGAAUACUGUAAUACUGUUACAGCUGACGCUUUUAUCCAAAGCGACUUACAAUUGCUAUACAUUUCAGAGGUCAUACGCCUCUGGAGCAACUAGGGGUUAAGUGUCUUGCUCAGGGACACAAUGGUGGAUGUCUCACAGUGGGAAUCGAACCCAGGUCUCCUACACCAAAGGCAAGCAUCUUAUGCUAUGCGCCAUCAUCACCCCCGAUAUAUACUUCCAUCUUUCAGCAAUGACAUGACAAUUUCCAGCAUUAACUAACCCUCCUGGUCCACAGAGUACUGGACAGGCUGUUGAACAAGAUUUGCUCUGCAAGCUAAAAGGUUUCUAAUAACUCUGGUGACUGUAUAAAUGAUGGAUGGCCACAGAAAUAUGUUGCGUUCUAUUUGCAGUCGGUCCUCGUUUUCUGAGAGAUAUUACGAGUUCCGAAGCAGAGCGUGACAAAUAUAUAUUUUUUUCCGAUCUAUUGUUUUUUCAAUGAUCAAAUAAGAGAAAUCCGUCCUCUAAUAAAAAUUUCUACACAAAAUGAAGUACCUGACUCUCAAACCCUUUUUUGUCUUUUUUGUCUAUCCCUUUGUGUCUGUGUGCUGUGGCCGUGGAAUUGAUUCACUCUUCCUCCUGGAUCCUGGGGACCAUGCUCACCUGCCUACAAGCUCUCAAUCUGGCUCUCCAGACCAAAGCCAGCAAGUCACACACUUCUCUCAUUAAGUAAGCUCUGUUUGACGUCAGCCACUGCAAACUGCUCUCUGCCUACCCCAGUGGCAUCGCUGUUUACUCCAUCUCAAUUUGCUGCUCCUUUUUACAAUAAAUCUCUUAUUCUCUA
Long non-coding RNA from Micropterus dolomieu (smallmouth bass), 2137 nucleotides. RefSeq lists it as uncharacterized. NCBI's taxonomy places the organism in Eukaryota, Metazoa, Chordata, Actinopteri, Centrarchiformes, Centrarchidae. The transcript has 2 exons. The record is from RefSeq and is a predicted model, not a curated record.